RNAcentral lists this ribosomal RNA (1137 nucleotides) under Triticum aestivum (bread wheat). Its description in RNAcentral is "partial small subunit ribosomal RNA". The record is from RNAcentral. Lineage: Eukaryota; Viridiplantae; Streptophyta; Magnoliopsida; Poales; Poaceae.
AUGGGCGCGACUAGUGAGUGGCACGCGAACCCACCCUCCGAGCAGGGCAGGGCGGGCCGCCGUGCGGUGGUAACCCUGCUCUGCCCCGCACGGUCGCCGUCUGAUGUGAUGCUCCCCGCGGCUCGCAGUGAGCGGGCGCAGCGUGAGGAGGGUGGGUGCAGGGCUCGGCGCACGGUAGAGGACGGGGGCGGCGGCCGCGGUGGCAGUCAGCAAUCUGUUAUCGGUGAAGAUGUUGCAGGCAUGCAUAGUAUGGCCAGUCCGAUCAGUGUACGCACCAGUCCGAGACAUCCUCUGUCCGUCCCUCAGUCAUCUUUAGUUCGAGCCGCACAUGCUUCACAUUUAGCGAUAAGAGUUGCAGAUCCAUUAUUCCCUUGCGCUAAACUCUCGAAAGCGCGUGCUGUAGUGGCAGCAGCAUUGGAGGUAUCCAAGGCCCCUUCUUCUUCUGGUUUGGCAAACCGCCAGCCAUCGAAGGAGGUUCUUGAGACAUGGCGCAAUGCCAAUGCGGUGUGCUUCGAUGUGGAUAGCACUGUAUGCUUGGAUGAGGGUAUUGACGAGCUUGCUGAUUUCUGUGGGGCUGGGCAGGCAGUUGCUGAGUGGACGACAAAGGCGAUGACAGGGACCGUUCCAUUUGAAGAGGCUCUUGUGGCCUGGAUCUCUUUAAUCAAGCCAUCUCUAUCCCAAGUUGAGGACUGUUUGGAGAAGAGGCCACCCAGGAUUUCUCCUGGAAUCGCUGAUUUGAUUAAGACAUUAAAAGCUAAUAAUACUGAAGUAUUCCUUGUGUCAGGAGGUUUCCGGCAAAUGAUCAAGCCUGUGGCAUUUGAUCUUGGCAUUCCUACUGAAAACAUCAUAGCAAACCAACUGCUAUUUGGAUCAUCUGGAGAGUAUGCUGGAUUUGAUCCCACAGAGCCCACUUCCCGAAGUGGGGGUAAAGCAGUAGCAGUGCAACAAAUAAGACAGGAUCAUGGUUACAAUACACUGGUUAUGAUUGGAGAUGGUGCCACUGAUCUUGAGGCUCGUCAACCUGGUGGAGCAGACUUGUUCAUCUGUUACGCCGGCGUCCAGAUGAGAGAAGCAGUUGCAGCCAAAGCUGACUGGACCGUCUUUGAAUUUCAAGAGCUAAUUUCUGAAUUGUCAUAA